AUGACACCAAUAUGAUAUAAUUCUAAGGCAUCAUUCUCUAGAGGCCAAACUAGAUGGGUACUUACAUGAGAUCUAAAUGAGUAAGCAUACUCUCUCAUUAUUAUUAACACUAGCCAACAUGAUAUAAUUCUGUGGUGGGCUUGGUAAUAAUGAGCCUCCCAUACCCUACUAAGAGUUUCCUCCAAAACUCUCGAAUUCCGAUGAGGGAUGUAGAACAUGCCAAAAAUAGUGGGUGGUGCUAUUUGAUUUAAAGACCUAGAUCAAAUGGCUUAAAAUCAAUCAAUUUUAUAUUCAUUAUGUAUUUAAUUACCGAUAUAUUUGCAAACACUAUCCAAAACUUGACAACGAAAAGCCGAAGGCUUUAGUUUCUGGACUUGGUACCACAAUCCCAUAGAUUGUCUUGAAUGGAUUGUAUAUGUACCUAAGUAGUCUCAUCCUCAUAGUCUUCCUAUUGAUAAUGUAUCAUUGGAAGAACAUGUUAGAUAAGUCUAUCAUAAAGAGGACAACACUUUUAGUGUCAUAGUUCUUCAAUUACAAAUCAUUGUAUAAAGAAAUAAGAGUUGCUUUGAACAACCCUUAGUUAAUGCAAACACUAGUGCUUGUUGCUUUGCUAAAUGAACAAGGAACUUGAGAAGUAAGCACAAGGGCAUGGACACUUUAUGUGCCAUGAUUCUUGACUUACAAAUUGUUGUAUGAAGAAAUGAGAGUUGCCUUGAACAACUCUUGAAAGUUUGUAAUUAUGUUUAGAACAUAAUGGUUGAUUGACAAAAUAGUCCAUCAAUAUGGACUUUAUGAUAAUUUUGAAUCAUUGAGUGUAGAAGUGUUAAACCACUUCAUGAGACAGAAACUAGGCUUAUACUUCACCUUUGUGUCCCCAUCAAAAUGGUUCACUAAGUUUAUCGUAAACUAUAUAGUGAACAAUAACCGCACUCUCUCCAAAUCAUUUGAUGUGUAUGACACAAUUGAAAUAAGUUUCAAGAGAGAUUGUGGGAGGUUAAGGGACCAUUACUAUUGUAGUCAAUGGGGAAGUCAAAUGAAGAAGGCGAAAUAACUCCAAGGGAACAAACUUUCUUAAUGAAAGGUUGGACAUUGGAAGGGGUAUUUGCAAGAAAUGUCUUGCGAGUGUCAAGAACACACCUUUCGAAGGUGUUGUAAAUUGUUGUUGAAUAGUUCAAAACAGUUGGUUCUUCUAUUUAAAUGCUUGAUGUCAUAUUAGUAACUAUGUUUUACAAUCGUUGUAAAAGUGUGGCUAAUAAGAAGUAGAAGAUUAAUGAGAGAAGAGAAAGUACUUCACAUUCGGAACAUGAAUCAAAUAUAGAUCUCUGUGAAAGCAGAUAGUGCUUACUUGCUCAUAUGAACCACCAAAGAAAUUGGAAAACCAAAGAUUGUCUUUACAUUCCAAUUUGAAUAAGGAACUUAAUUCCAUCACUAUAGUUUUAAGAGAUGGAUAAAUGUUUUGUUUAAAAAACAUUGCUCUUUAUUAAUGAAUGAUUGAAUUAUAGUAAUCGGAUUAAUUGUCUCUAUAUUGUAGAGAUAAUGUGGUAGUAUUAACUGUUUAGAAUACAAACAUGCUUAAAACCCAAAAGGUUGCAAGGUAGUGACUAAUCCCAACUAAGUUGUGAUACCUCUAAAAACAUAAAUUACGAGUUGGUCAUAGAUGGAUGCUUUGGAUCGUUAGAUCCAUAUCCAAUGCCUUCUUGUUAAAAUUGUAUAGGGGUGAAAUGUUUGAAUCUUUAUUCUUUUGGAAAGAAUAAAGAAUCACAAUGUUGUUGAGGUUAAUUCACUUAGAUGUUAGCGGCACAUGUCCACAACAUAAUACUACUCAUGUUAUAUGACAUUCUGCUCUUGGUUGGACUAUCAUUUAUUUUGAAUAAACACAAGUCCGAAUACUUUCCAAAAGGUUUCAAGGAAUUCAAGAAUGUAGGUUGAUGAGUAAGACAUUUAAAGUAUUUACUUCCUUAGAUUUGAUCCAAGGAAAAAUAACAGUUUAGAAGAGUUUCCUUGAAAGAUAUCAAGGAAAGUAGCAUCAUAAGAUAAUGGAUUUCUCCAUUGGGAGAAGAACGAACUAGAAUAAGAUUUAGUUCGUUGGAUGUUAUCAAAUACGCAUAUAUAGGAUAUAUAUUUCUAAAACAAUAUGAUUGUCAAUUAGAAGAUCUUCCAAAAUUUUCAUGACUCCAUAGGAUGUACUUGGAAAGAAAGACGAGUCUUAAUUCGUGUUAAGAUUUGGGGUUGUGUGCUAAUAUGCAAUAUUUGUUUCAGAACAAUCUUGUGGGAUAUCCUUAAAUUAACCUUUGGAUAUCACUUCUAUAAACCAACUAACAAAUGUUGUUUGUUGAGUAAUUCAUUGUAAUCCUACACUAGGAUUUGCCUAAGAUAGAGCAAAUGAACGAGAGAUAGAACUUAAAGAAUGGGUUCUUUGAGAGACAAGAUAAUAAUCAACAAAUAUAACAACCUAGUUCCUACACCACAAGCUCAAAGGUAGUCGAGAAGGAUUUAUAGACCGUCUCAGUUUAAUGGUUUGAACUUUAUGGCUAUGUCAUAGAGUUACACCUCUUAAUUCAAAAGAAAUAAGAAUGAAAAUCCUUAUGACUACAUUGAGUGUAUAUAUGAGAUAUAUUCAAGGAAAUGGUAUAGUACCAUUUGACCCAAAAUAAUGAAACCUACAUAGCUAAAUGGUAGCUUAAGGUGAUUACAAUCAACGAGAUUGGUUGACUUGGAUGAAACCAUCUUUGAUGUAGUCUUGGUUUCAAUUAAUUCGAAGAUUGCUAGUUACAACUAAACAGUGAUUCAAUGUUUGGACGUAAUAGGGGUUUCGAAAACCAUUAUCAAGAUGGUCUUGAUAAUAUAUGUCUAAGACUAGGAAUCACAAGACAUGUAAGUUGUAGAGAUCCAUCCAUCAUGAAUCUUAGCAAGCUAGUGGGAGCUAUAA
This 2929-nucleotide long non-coding RNA is filed under the name Malus domestica (apple). RNAcentral's name for it is "long non-coding RNA (MDOM_LNC005998)". Lineage: Eukaryota; Viridiplantae; Streptophyta; Magnoliopsida; Rosales; Rosaceae. The record is from RNAcentral.